AGGUCCCGGAAGCACUGCAGGAAGUGACGGUCAUUUCCACCCCCACCGCCCCCCAUCCCCCCCCGGGGCACCGCAGCCGCCCCCAUCCGCCCCCAACAGGGCCGCAGGAGCGCAGUGGGGAGCCGUGGGUGCCCGACAUGCUGAGCUCGGGGGACGAGGACCCCCCGCAGCCCCUGCUGUGGGUUUGGGUCCGGAGGAGGAGGAGGUGGAGGAGCUGCCCCAACACCGGGACGUCCUCCGGCUCCUCCUGCUCAGUUCCCAUCCCCUUCCCAUCCUUCCCACCCCCUUCCCAUCCUUCCCAUCCCCUUCCCAUCCUUCCCAUCACCAUCCCAUGGCUCCCACCCCCCUUUCUACCCUUCCCAC
Gallus gallus (chicken) is the source of this 363-nucleotide long non-coding RNA. NCBI's taxonomy places the organism in Eukaryota, Metazoa, Chordata, Aves, Galliformes, Phasianidae. The record is from Ensembl.